Long non-coding RNA from Neolamprologus brichardi, 138 nucleotides. RefSeq lists it as uncharacterized. The record is from RefSeq and is a predicted model, not a curated record. Lineage: Eukaryota; Metazoa; Chordata; Actinopteri; Cichliformes; Cichlidae.
AGCUGCUGUCUCUUUGAGAGAUCCUGGCCUUUACCUGCUCCCUCCUAUACUGAUGUGGUGUAUGUGGUACUGCUGAGCUUGUAUGUGAUCUGAACCAGUGUAAAGGUUACAGUUCAAAGACAUGAGGUAUGAAAUUCU